GGAUAGGUGGCAGAGCGGUCGAUUGCGCAUCCCUGAUAAGGAGGUGGACCUUCAUCGGUCUCGUGGGUUCGAACCCCGCCCUGAAUU
RNAcentral lists this transfer RNA (87 nucleotides) under Mesorhizobium sp. RNAcentral's name for it is "tRNA-Ile". The stretch from base 5 to 82 matches the Rfam family "tRNA", at positions 5 to 66 of the family's 71-position model. From Rfam's summary of the family: Transfer RNA (tRNA) molecules are approximately 80 nucleotides in length. The record is from RNAcentral. RNAcentral also lists the same sequence under 25 other names. Lineage: Bacteria; Pseudomonadati; Pseudomonadota; Alphaproteobacteria; Hyphomicrobiales; Phyllobacteriaceae.